GAUGAACGCUGGCGGCGUGCCUAAUACAUGCAAGUCGAGCGAACGGACGAGAAGCUUGCUUCUCUGAUGUUAGCGGCGGACGGGUGAGUAACACGUGGAUAACCUACCUAUAAGACUGGGAUAACUUCGGGAAACCGGAGCUAAUACCGGAUAAUAUUUUGAACCGCAUGGUUCAAAAGUGAAAGACGGUCUUGCUGUCACUUAUAGAUGGAUCCGCGCUGCAUUAGCUAGUUGGUAAGGUAACGGCUUACCAAGGCAACGAUGCAUAGCCGACCUGAGAGGGUGAUCGGCCACACUGGAACUGAGACACGGUCCAGACUCCUACGGGAGGCAGCAGUAGGGAAUCUUCCGCAAUGGGCGAAAGCCUGACGGAGCAACGCCGCGUGAGUGAUGAAGGUCUUCGGAUCGUAAAACUCUGUUAUUAGGGAAGAACAUAUGUGUAAGUAACUGUGCACAUCUUGACGGUACCUAAUCAGAAAGCCACGGCUAACUACGUGCCAGCAGCCGCGGUAAUACGUAGGUGGCAAGCGUUAUCCGGAAUUAUUGGGCGUAAAGCGCGCGUAGGCGGUUUUUUAAGUCUGAUGUGAAAGCCCACGGCUCAACCGUGGAGGGUCAUUGGAAACUGGAAAACUUGAGUGCAGAAGAGGAAAGUGGAAUUCCAUGUGUAGCGGUGAAAUGCGCAGAGAUAUGGAGGAACACCAGUGGCGAAGGCGACUUUCUGGUCUGUAACUGACGCUGAUGUGCGAAAGCGUGGGGAUCAAACAGGAUUAGAUACCCUGGUAGUCCACGCCGUAAACGAUGAGUGCUAAGUGUUAGGGGGGUUCCGCCCCUUAGUGCUGCAGCUAACGCAUUAAGCACUCCGCCUGGGGAGUACGACCGCAAGGUUGAGACUCAAAGGAAUUGACGGGGACCCGCACAAGCGGUGGAGCAUGUGGUUUAAUUCGAAGCAACGCGAAGAACCUUACCAAAUCUUGACAUCCUUUGACAACUCUAGAGAUAGAGCUUUCCCCUUCGGGGGACAAAGUGACAGGUGGUGCAUGGUUGUCGUCAGCUCGUGUCGUGAGAUGUUGGGUUAAGUCCCGCAACGAGCGCAACCCUUAAGCUUAGUUGCCAUCAUUAAGUUGGGCACUCUAAGUUGACUGCCGGUGACAAACCGGAGGAAGGUGGGGAUGACGUCAAAUCAUCAUGCCCCUUAUGAUUUGGGCUACACACGUGCUACAAUGGACAAUACAAAGGGCAGCGAAACCGCGAGGUCAAGCAAAUCCCAUAAAGUUGUUCUCAGUUCGGAUUGUAGUCUGCAACUCGACUACAUGAAGCUGGAAUCGCUAGUAAUCGUAGAUCAGCAUGCUACGGUGAAUACGUUCCCGGGUCU
Molecule: ribosomal RNA, 1372 nt
Filed under: uncultured bacterium
Lineage: Bacteria
Description: bacterial SSU rRNA
Rfam family: Bacterial small subunit ribosomal RNA
Source: RNAcentral